RNAcentral lists this long non-coding RNA (614 nucleotides) under Phoenix dactylifera (date palm). Its description in RNAcentral is "long non-coding RNA (PDAC_LNC007816)". Lineage: Eukaryota; Viridiplantae; Streptophyta; Magnoliopsida; Arecales; Arecaceae. The record is from RNAcentral.
UCUCUUUAAAAUAAAGAUGAGUUCUUAAACCAGCCUUACACAACCAUAUAUAUAUAUAUAUAUAUAUAUGCUCAGAUGAAAGAAAAUAUGGACUCAAUACAAUCAUAACUUUAAUACCAUUGUCUCCCAUCAUUUAUUUCUAACAAGACAAAUAUCACUCUUUAGGGCUAUCUAGUGAUCGAAACCCAGUAAAGCUAUAUAGCGACAAAGUAGAGGCAUACGAAAUGAUAGCGUCUCAAGGAUGACACGAUGGUCACAUAAUGGGUAACUCACGAACUACUUUCUUUUUCUGCUCAAGGGGAUCCAUUCGGCUGUGCUGUUUCUCUAUGAAGGCUAUAGCUUUCCUGUCUAUGUCGUCGUUGCUUCGUCCAGCUCCUCUUGGUUGCCUUGUCUCCGUUUCUGCGUCAUCGCCCUUUCUUGGUUGCCUCACUCCCUCCUGUGCCCUCCUUGGAUUCUUUGCUUUCACCUCUUCCUCCAGGCCCUUAUGGUGAACCCUCUUGAAGCCGAGAAAGGCAAAGAAGGACUUCCUCCCUCGCCCCAUUUUCCGUUUAUGUUUCUUUCUAUGAUCAACUUACAAUAAUCUUUGUUUAUAUAAGGAUAAGGAGCUUCUCUUU